CCGUAGUCAUAUGCUUGUUUAAAGAUUAAGCCAUGCAUGUCUAAGUAUAAGCAAAAAUACAGCAAAACUGCAAAUGGCUCAUUAAAACAGUUAUGGUUUACUUGAUAAUAGUUUUUACAUGGAUAACCGUGGUAAUUCUACAGCUAAUACAUGAGCAAAAUCUCAACUUUAUUAGAAGAGACGCAUUUAUUAGAUAAAAAGCCAAUGCAUGCUUUUACAGUAUGAAAAUUGGUGAUUUAUAAUAACUUAGCAAAUCGCAAAGUGAAAACAGGCGAUAAAUCAUUCAAGUUUCUGACCUAUCAGCUUUCGACGGUAUGGUAUUGGCUUACCGUGGCAGUGACGGUUAACGGGGGAUUAGGGUUCGAUUCCGGAGAGGGAGCCUGAGAAACGGCUACCACAUCUAAGGAAGGCAGCCGGCGCGCAAAUUACCCAAUUCUAACAGUUUGAGAGAGGUAGUAACAAGAAAUAACAAUACAAGGCAGUUAAAAUGCUUUGUAAUUGGAAUGAUAGAAAUUUAAACCCUUUUUAAAGUAUCAAUUGGAGGGCAAGUCUGGUGCCAGCAGCCGCGGUAAUUCCAGCUCCAAUAGCGUAUAUUAAAAUUGUUGCAGUUAAAAAGCUCGUAGUUGAAGUUCUGCUAAAAGUAACCGGUCUGCUUUUAAUAAAGGUGGUAUCUUGGUGUGUAUUUAGCAAUGAUGUCCUUUGAAGUGUUUUUUACUUUAUUGUAAUAAAGCAUAUUCAGGACUUUUACUUUGAGAAAAUUAGAGUGUUUCUAGCAGGCUGACGCUUUGAAUACUGCAGCAUGGAAUAAUAAGAUAGGAUUUUAGUUCUACAUUAUUGGUUUUAAGAGCUAAAUUAAUGAUGAUA
This 864-nucleotide ribosomal RNA is filed under the name Hepatozoon canis. Its description in RNAcentral is "bacterial SSU rRNA". It matches the Rfam family "Eukaryotic small subunit ribosomal RNA", at positions 18 to 873 of the family's 1831-position model. Lineage: Eukaryota; Apicomplexa; Hepatozoidae. The record is from RNAcentral.